RNAcentral lists this ribosomal RNA (235 nucleotides) under uncultured Candidatus Saccharibacteria bacterium. Its description in RNAcentral is "partial 16S ribosomal RNA". It matches the Rfam family "Bacterial small subunit ribosomal RNA", at positions 584 to 818 of the family's 1533-position model. Lineage: Bacteria; Candidatus Saccharimonadota. The record is from RNAcentral.
UAAGUAGGUAGUGAAAUCCUGGGGCUCAACCCUUUAAACAUUAUCUAAACUGCAAAGCUAGAAUAUAGAAGAGGUAGCUGGAAUUCCUUGUGUAGGAGUGAGAUCCGUAGAUAUAAGGAGGAACACCGAUGGCGUAGGCAGGCUACUGGUCUAUUAUUGACGCUAAGGCACGAAAGCGUGGGGAGCAAACGGGAUUAGAUACCCCGGUAGUCCACGCCGUAAACUAUGGAUGCUA